UAGUAGCUUAGGCGGUAGUGAAACUGCUUCCGAAGCAUUGGGCCGCGGUUUCGAAUCCCGCCCAGGACAA
This 70-nucleotide transfer RNA is filed under the name Plutella xylostella (diamondback moth). Its description in RNAcentral is "tRNA-Arg". The record is from RNAcentral. Lineage: Eukaryota; Metazoa; Arthropoda; Insecta; Lepidoptera; Plutellidae.